AUUGAACGCUGGCGGAAUGCUUUACACAUGCAAGUCGAACGGCAGCACGGGGGCAACCCUGGUGGCGAGUGGCGAACGGGUGAGUAAUACAUCGGAACGUGCCCUGUCGUGGGGAUAACGUAGCGAAAGUUACGCUAAUACCGCAUACGAUCUACGGAUGAAAGCGGGGGACCGUAAGGCCUCGCGCGAUUGGAGCGGCCGAUGUCAGAGUAGGUAGUUGGUGAGGUAAAGGCUCACCAAGACAACGGUCUGUAGCUGGUCUGAGAGGACGACCAGCGCAACUGGAAAUUAGACACGGUCCAGACUCCUACGGGAGGCAGCAGUGGGGAAUUUUGGACAAUGGGGGCAACCCUGAUCCAGCCAUGCCGCGUGAGUGAAGAAGGCCUUCGGGUUGUAAAGCUCUUUCGGCCGGGAAGAAAUCGCACAGGCUAGUACUCUGUGUGGAUGACGGUACCGGCAUAAGAAGCACCGGCUAACUACGUGCCAGCCGCCGCGGUAA
RNAcentral lists this ribosomal RNA (499 nucleotides) under uncultured bacterium. RNAcentral describes it as "partial 16S ribosomal RNA". It matches the Rfam family "Bacterial small subunit ribosomal RNA", at positions 29 to 523 of the family's 1533-position model. The record is from RNAcentral.